CCUGUUCUUAGAGGCAUUACAGGUGUGGCUGCACGUGCCACAUGUGGCAGAGAGGAGAGAGGUUCUGUCCGCGCUCAGUGUUCCGACCUGUGAUCAUCUGAAUGAUUAGUAGCCUAAUAUC
This 121-nucleotide small nucleolar RNA is filed under the name Meriones unguiculatus (Mongolian gerbil). RNAcentral describes it as "Small nucleolar RNA SNORA17 (ENSMUGG00000016039.1)". It matches the Rfam family "Small nucleolar RNA SNORA17". From Rfam's summary of the family: snoRNA ACA 17 belongs to the H/ACA family of snoRNAs and is predicted to guide pseudouridylation of the 28S rRNA at positions U4659 and U4598. It shares the same host gene together with ACA43. The record is from RNAcentral. Lineage: Eukaryota; Metazoa; Chordata; Mammalia; Rodentia; Muridae.